This 666-nucleotide ribosomal RNA is filed under the name bacterium. Its description in RNAcentral is "bacterial SSU rRNA". It matches the Rfam family "Bacterial small subunit ribosomal RNA", at positions 71 to 751 of the family's 1533-position model. The record is from RNAcentral.
AUCCCCAGCUUGCUGGGGGGAUUAGUGGCGAACGGGUGAGUAACACGUGAGUAACCUGCCCUUGACUCUGGGAUAAGCCUGGGAAACUGGGUCUAAUACUGGAUACGACCUUUCACCGCAUGGUGGGGGGUGGAAAGCUUUUGUGGUUUUGGAUGGACUCGCGGCCUAUCAGCUUGUUGGUGGGGUAAUGGCCUACCAAGGCGACGACGGGUAGCCGGCCUGAGAGGGUGGACGGCCACACUGGGACUGAGACACGGCCCAGACUCCUACGGGAGGCAGCAGUGGGGAAUAUUGCACAAUGGGCGCAAGCCUGAUGCAGCGACGCCGCGUGAGGGAUGAAGGCCUUCGGGUUGUAAACCUCUUUCAGUAGGGAAGAAGCGAAAGUGACGGUACCUGCAGAAGAAGCGCCGGCUAACUACGUGCCAGCAGCCGCGGUAAUACGUAGGGCGCAAGCGUUAUCCGGAAUUAUUGGGCGUAAAGAGCUCGUAGGCGGUUUGUCGCGUCUGCCGUGAAAGUCCGGGGCUUAACUCCGGAUCUGCGGUGGGUACGGGCAGACUUGAGUGAUGUAGGGGAGACUGGAAUUCCUGGUGUAGCGGUGAAAUGCGCAGAUAUCAGGAGGAACACCGAUGGCGAAGGCAGGUCUCUGGGCAUUAACUGACGCUGAGG